GUGUGAGGGAGAUGAGGCCCCUGAAGGAGGGUCCUGGUGGGGCCCCCUCAGCCUGACAGACAGCAGCAGGCCCCCAGGGCUCACCUAGGACACCUGCAAACACCCUCCACCAUCCUGUCUCCACCCAACACACACUCAUGGGGGACCCUGCUCUGCCCCAGUCGGGCCAGGAGGAUGGGGACACAGAAGUGAGCAAACUCCAGUGGGGUUUCCGCCCCAGGCAGCCCAGAGUCCAGCUGGGAAGACAGAUGGUGACCACAUCAUGCAAGCUGGGCUGUGAGGGACUUAGGAGGGGGUGACCAGCCAGGAAAAUCUGGGAAGACCUACCUGCAGAGGUGAUAAUUGAACUGGGGGGUGGGGGGUUCAGGGAUGACGGAAUGGGGGGCUUGUGAGCCAGAAGAGAGGGGGUGAGACAAGGCCAAGAGUGUAGGCACAGGCAGAAUCCUCACCUCAUAGAAGGUUCUGGAAGGCUACAAGCUGGGGGUAUGGUUAGCCAGUCUGCUUUGGGGAAGACCACUCUGGCUGUCCCGUGGGGACUGAGGGCAGAGGGCUCUGACCAGCGCUAACCCAGGGGUCCUUCCCGGCAGGAGGCAGUGCCACCAUCCCCACCUGAACGCCCCUCUCAGGUCUGGGGCCCCUGGCUGCCUCCUGGAAGCUGGCUCCGGAGAGACCUCCCUCCUGCUGGCCUGUGUGCAGUGGGGGCAGGGCCCACAGGGGGAAGGCAGUCCCAGCAGGGGGGCUCCAAAUGGUGCCAGCUCUGCAGCCUCCGGAGCCCCCCAGCCUGCCCUGUCGUAAACCCAUCCCAGCUCCUCCUCCGCCUGCUCACUGACCUGCAACCAGGUGCAAAUUGAGCCCUGCCGAGGACAAAACGGCUUUGAUGAACCAAAUGAUGGAGAGACAGCGCUUGAAUCAGGGCAGACUUUGGACCUUGCAGGCCCCAGGAUAACCACUCUUUUGACGGCCCUGGGAUGGCGAGGAGAGGCCGAUGUCCAUGGGAGCCAGACUGCAUCAGUGCUGAUCAGAGGGACAGACCCACAGCCCUUCCCUCAAGCUCGGGGCAGGGCGGCCAACUCAAUGGGUCCUCAGAAGAGAGGGCCCGGCCUGGGGACCUCACAUGGAGCUCAGCCACGGACAGUUCCUCCGAAAUAUCCUUCCGCCCCAGUCUGGAAACCAGCCAACCUCUCCCAUGCUGCCUGGGCCUUGGCCAACCCCCUACCACCUGCCACCCCCGGCCAGACAUUGAAAACCACAAGAACACCACAGUGGCUGUGGGGAUCUGGAUUCAACUCAUAACUGGCUCUGAGGGGCCUGGGAGAGUAGAAUGAACUCCCGGGUGCUGGCCAGGGUCAGUAACCAGCUGGACACAUUCCCUGGCCAGGACUGAGGUGCCUAGAACCUGCUGCUGAGUCAUAGGAGUGAGAUAUUCCUGGGCCAAGCUACAAGGAAACUCCUUCUCCGGGGCUCCCUGUUUUGGCAGCCUGGUUAAUGAGUCACCUGCUGGUCACAUGCCUGGGGAACCCAGCUUGGGGGCUCCCUCACAUGCCAGGGUUACCUCAGUGCCAGAGAAGGUGGGCAGGGAGUUUUUUAUGUACUACUUGAAAAAUUGACUUCUUCAGAAAAGAACCAAGUAAAACGUAGCAAUCAUUUGUGUUUCCCACCCAGAUUUAACCACUUCUAACAAACUUACGCAGAGUCAGACACGAUUGAGUGACUGAACUGAACUGAACUGCACAGACUUAUUUACCUCUAGUCUUUUGAAAAAUGUAUUUACUUUCCAUCAAGCAUAAAAUGAGCAUAUUUAUUUCUUAUAAAGAAGAAAGAGCC
Long non-coding RNA from Capra hircus (goat), 1824 nucleotides. The record is from Ensembl. NCBI's taxonomy places the organism in Eukaryota, Metazoa, Chordata, Mammalia, Artiodactyla, Bovidae.